RNAcentral lists this ribosomal RNA (442 nucleotides) under uncultured bacterium. Its description in RNAcentral is "partial 16S ribosomal RNA". It matches the Rfam family "Bacterial small subunit ribosomal RNA", at positions 338 to 795 of the family's 1533-position model. The record is from RNAcentral.
CCUACGGGAGGCAGCAGUGGGGAAUAUUGGGCAAUGGGCGCAAGCCUGACCCAGCAACGCCGCGUGAAGGAAGAAGGCUUUCGGGUUGUAAACUUCUUUUGUCAGGGAAGAGUAGAAGACGGUACCUGACGAAUAAGCCACGGCUAACUACGUGCCAGCAGCCGCGGUAAUACGUAGGUGGCAAGCGUUGUCCAGAUUUACUGGGUGUAAAGGGCGUGUAGCCGGGUUGACAAGUCAGAUGUGAAAUCCUGCGGCUUAACCGCAGAAUUGCAUUUGAAACUGUUGAUCUUGAGUACUGGAGAGGCAGACGGAAUUCCUAGUGUAGCGGUGAAAUGCGUAGAUAUUAGGAGGAACACCAGUGGCGAAGGCGGUCUGCUGGACAGCAACUGACGGUGAGGCGCGAAAGCGUGGGGAGCAAACAGGAUUAGAUACCCCAGUAGUC